AGUUAGUUGAGAUCUCUGUUCAUGUAAUGAGAAUAUAGCCGCUUAUCCUAAAUACACUUUUUUGAAGAGAUGAAUAGAUUUGUUCUCUGAUUUUACUGGUGUUACCACUGGCAUUGCAGAUAAGAAAACUGGUUUGGUACUUACUACUCUGGGUUGUUUUUUUUGUAUCAAUAGAAUGUAUAGGGAUUUAGCUUUCUUUAAUCUCUUUAAAC
This is a non-coding RNA of Pelobates cultripes (western spadefoot toad), 212 nucleotides long. The record is from the annotation of a GenBank genome assembly. NCBI's taxonomy places the organism in Eukaryota, Metazoa, Chordata, Amphibia, Anura, Pelobatidae.